GUUAUCUUUGAAGCCUGGGAAAAGUAACAGAGAUGAAUUGUUUCAUCUCUCUGACCGAACAGCCUCUCAAGAAGAAAACACUUUUUGAAAAAUGAGAUAAAAUGGUGCCUAGUGAGUCAUGAUUUCAGUUUGGAACAAUAAUAUGGAAAAAAAAGUGUUCCUAAGAAUAAACAUACAGCCACAGAAGACAGUAUAAUCUUACCAAUUUGCCUCAUCACAAAGACUGUGUUAAAGAGUAUCACUGUGUCAAACAGUGGAACUUUUGCAGAUAUAAAUUUGACGACAUCAGACCUUGAGAUGCCCUUCAAUUAAAACAGUAAUUCAGACCUCACAAAUGGCAGUUAAAUUCAAGUAUUCCAAAUGUAUGCUGAAUUUUAUGUAAGUGGUACAGGGGAAAUAAAUGACCAUGAACAACAAAAAAAUAAAGUCCUAGAAUCUGCAAAGAGUUUUAUCAUGCAAUCUUGUUAGAUACCAGAUAGCCCCUGUACUGGGGGAAAAGUGCUUUUUCAGGCUAUUAUUAAAUCUUUUUUCUGCCUCAUUGCCUUUCUUUUUGAAGCUUCAUUGCUUUUAUGCUUAUAGUUUUAUCCACCAUUGUUACCUCUUUCCUGCCAAAAAUGAAUGUCCCACUUAUAUGUGAUUUUAUCCUACAGCCUGCCAUUCUUCUCAACUGUGCAGCUCACAUAUGCAAGCACAUGAGCAGAUGGCCCAUAUACCUACACAGGUUUCGGCCCAUCACCUCUUUCUUUCUGUUCUCUAAGUAUGGACUACCCAGUGCUUCAUCCAAGGGAGAAAGAAUUGGCUCCUUGCUGUCAUUGACAGAAAAUUGAUUCAAGGGAAGAACUAUGAUAUAGAAGACUGUCUGACUGGGACCUAGGAGCAAAUCACUCUCUGGGCCUCAAUUUCCUCCUCUACAAAAGGAAGAAGGGCCUUCAAAGACUUAUUUAUGAAUUUCUAAGUCUGUGAACAUUUUAACAAUGAAAUGGUUAAUUUUUAGAUUUCUGAUUUUAGUAUUUUAAAAUAUUGUACCUACAGGUAGUUCCAGUAGAAUACUGUUUUGUAUUUUCUUUAUAAAAUAUGUAGAUGAUGACACCAAUGUGUCAUUGUACAUCAAUGAUGCACCAAUGUGGAGUCUGAAAGACCCACAUGGAAUCAUUCUUGGGCAGUGUUGUCACUCCUCUUAUCUUUCUGUUUAGGAAGAACAACAGCAAUAACAUUCUUACAGAUGCUAGCCUUAUCCUCACUGUCUGCAGAUUUUGAGCCUGCAAACUUUUCAGUGAGAUGAUGUGAGAAACGGUCAUUAGUGGCUUAUAAUAACCAAAAAGCUGUUUUUUGAAAAAGACAUUAGACUUUCCUGGUUAUGUGAAAUAGCUUUAGCAAUGGAGAUGAUUUUGGUCAUGGAAAAAAAAAACACAGUGAAAUCACCAGUGAGAACCAUUCCACAGCAAACAGUGGUGAAUGUAAGUGAGUUGCCAUUUUGAAACUAAAACAUUUUUACUAAAAUCCCAGCAUCAGUCAGAUAUACCUUCAUGUGCAUGAAAGAAGGAGCAGGGCAAAUAGAUAGAUGCAAGAAUAAGCAAGUGAACAGAAGCAUUAGUGUGGAAACAAACAAAUGCCUGGCAGUUAUAUAAGAAAGAUGAUCAUUUUUCCCAGUAGGAACAAGUAAAGAGAAUUCAUUGUUAUCAGAGUGUUUUGCAAAGCAAAACUCUCUUUUGGUCAUUCAUAUCUUUAUGUCUAAACCUGGAGUGCAUGACUUGGUAAUGAGGGAAAUGAAAUGUCCUCUGUCAGGUAAUUUGGAUUCCCGUGGGCCCAACAAAGUUCCCCAGGGGGAGAUUACAUGGCUCUGCCCUUCCUCCUGACACUCCCACCAUCUCUUUAACCCAGUCAAUUUCUACCCUAAUAUAUGUUUUCCUGAUAAACCUCCAAAUUAAAAUUUUCCUACCUAGAGAUAAAAGUGACAUGCAUUUUAUUUUAUUUUUUUUAUUUUUUAUUUAUGAUAGUCACAGAGAGAGAGAGAGAGAGAGGUAGAGACACAGGCAGAGGGAGAAGCAGGCUCCAUGCACCAGGAGCCUGACGUGGGACUCGAUCCCGGGUCUCCAGGAUCGCACCCUGGGCCAAAGGCAGGCGCCACACCGCUGUGCCAGCCAGGAAUCCCCAUGUUUUAAAGAAGAGUUAAAAAAACAAUCUCGAAAAUAUUUUGAAAUGCUGGUAGGAAAAUUUAAAACUAAGAAAUAAUAUUAUUUAACUAGAAUAACUUUGAGAUUGCCCAGAAAAUGUUCAAAAUAAACUUUCUUUUGUUUGAGACA
Vulpes vulpes (red fox) is the source of this 2303-nucleotide long non-coding RNA. The record is from Ensembl. Lineage: Eukaryota; Metazoa; Chordata; Mammalia; Carnivora; Canidae.